RNAcentral lists this ribosomal RNA (253 nucleotides) under uncultured microorganism. RNAcentral's name for it is "partial 16S ribosomal RNA". It matches the Rfam family "Bacterial small subunit ribosomal RNA", at positions 524 to 776 of the family's 1533-position model. The record is from RNAcentral.
UACGUAGGGUGCGAGCGUUAAUCGGAUUUACUGGGCGUAAAGCGUGCGCAGGCGGCCCGUUAAGCCAGGUGUGAAAUCCCUGGGCUCAACCUAGGAAUUGCGCUUGUGACUGGCGGGCUAGAGUACGGUAGAGGGGGGUGGAAUUCCUGGUGUAGCAGUGAAAUGCGUAGAGAUCAGGAGGAACACCGAUGGCGAAGGCAGCUCCCUGGGCCUGUACUGACGCUCAUGCACGAAAGCGUGGGGAGCAAACAGG